Long non-coding RNA from Saccostrea cuccullata (small rock oyster), 272 nucleotides. RefSeq lists it as uncharacterized. The transcript has 3 exons. The record is from RefSeq and is a predicted model, not a curated record. Lineage: Eukaryota; Metazoa; Mollusca; Bivalvia; Ostreida; Ostreidae.
GAACCUAGGACUUACCUGAACACACAAAAAAUGAAUUAUAACUGGUUAAUUACAUUCGUCUUUAUUUGCUUUGCAAAUGAAAUAUGGUCGGACGACUGCCCUUCUCACUGGAUUAAGCACAGGUUUUCCUGUUAUCUGUUCAUUAAAGAUGUUCCCGAGGACUUCAUCGAAGCUGGGUCAUUUUGCCAAAGGCUUGGAUCCAAGCUGGUGGAAGUUGACAAGACAGUUGACGAAAACAACUUCCUCCGCUCACACAUCGUUGGAACAAAUCC